GACAGAGGGUGCGAACGUUGCUCGGAAUCACUGGGCGUAAAGCGCGCGUAGGCGGACCGGAAAGUCGGUUGUGAAAUCCCUGGGCUCAACCCAGGAACUGCAUCCGAAACUCCCGGUCUCGAGUGACGGAGAGGAUAGUGGAAUUCCCGGUGUAGAGGUGAAAUUCGUAGAUAUCGGGAGGAACACCAGUGGCGAAGGCGGCUAUCUGGACGUCCACUGACGCUGAGGCGCGAAAGCGUGGGUGCAAACAGG
Molecule: ribosomal RNA, 252 nt
Filed under: uncultured bacterium
Lineage: Bacteria
Description: partial 16S ribosomal RNA
Rfam family: Bacterial small subunit ribosomal RNA
Source: RNAcentral